GUAGGGGGCGAGCGUUAUCCGGAUUUAUUGGGCGUAAAGAGUUCGUAGGCGGUUUGUUAAGUCUAAAAUUCAAGCCCGAGGCUUAACCUCGGUUCGUUUUAGAAACUGGCAAACUUGAGUGUGGUAGAGGCAAGUGGAAUUUCUAGUGUAGCGGUUAAAUGCGUAGAUAUUAGAAGGAACACCAGUGGCGAAGGCGGCUUGCUGGGCCAUUACUGACGCUGAGGAACGAAAGCGUGGGGAGCAAA
RNAcentral lists this ribosomal RNA (245 nucleotides) under uncultured bacterium. RNAcentral's name for it is "partial 16S ribosomal RNA". It matches the Rfam family "Bacterial small subunit ribosomal RNA", at positions 527 to 772 of the family's 1533-position model. The record is from RNAcentral.